UGCAAGUCGAACGAAGCACUUUAUUUGAUUUCCUUCGGGACUGAUUAUUUUGUGACUGAGUGGCGGACGGGUGAGUAACGCGUGGGUAACCUGCCUUGUACAGGGGGAUAACAGUUGGAAACGGCUGCUAAUACCGCAUAAGCGCACAGCAUCGCACGAUGCAGUGUGAAAAACUCCGGUGGUAUAAGAUGGACCCGCGUUGGAUUAGCUAGUUGGCGAGGUAACGGCCCACCAAGGCGACGAUCCAUAGCCGACCUGAGAGGGUGACCGGCCACAUUGGGACUGAGACACGGCCCAAACUCCUACGGGAGGCAGCAGUGGGGAAUAUUGCACAAUGGGCGAAAGCCUGAUGCA
This 354-nucleotide ribosomal RNA is filed under the name uncultured bacterium. Its description in RNAcentral is "bacterial SSU rRNA". It matches the Rfam family "Bacterial small subunit ribosomal RNA", at positions 56 to 390 of the family's 1533-position model. The record is from RNAcentral.